RNAcentral lists this ribosomal RNA (433 nucleotides) under uncultured bacterium. RNAcentral describes it as "partial 16S ribosomal RNA". It matches the Rfam family "Bacterial small subunit ribosomal RNA", at positions 29 to 507 of the family's 1533-position model. The record is from RNAcentral.
AACGAACGCUGGCGGCAUGCCUAACACAUGCAAGUCGAGCGAGACCUUCGGGUCUAGUGGCGCACGGGUGCGUAACGCGUGGGAACCUGCCCUUAGGUUCGGAAUAACUCUCCGAAAGGGGUGCUAAUACCGGAUAAUGUCUUCGGACCAAAGAUUUAUCGCCUUUGGAUGGGCCCGCGUUGGAUUAGCUAGUUGGUAGGGUAAAAGCCUACCAAGGCGACGAUCCAUAGCUGGUCUGAGAGGAUGAUCAGCCACACUGGGAGUGAGACACGGCCCAGAAUCCUACGGGAGGCAGCAGUGGGGAAUAUUGGAAAGUGGGCGAAGGGCUGAUCCAGCAAUGCCGCGUGAGUGAUGAAGGCCUUAGAGUUGUAAAGCUCUUUUACCCGGGAUGAUAAUGACAGUACCGGGAGAAUAAGCUCCGGCUAACUCCGUG